Molecule: ribosomal RNA, 492 nt
Filed under: uncultured bacterium
Lineage: Bacteria
Description: partial 16S ribosomal RNA
Rfam family: Bacterial small subunit ribosomal RNA
Source: RNAcentral
AGUGAACGCUGGCGGUAGGCCUAACACAUGCAAGUCGAACGGCAGCACAGUAAGAGCUUGCUCUUACGGGUGGCGAGUGGCGGACGGGUGAGGAAUACAUCGGAAUCUACUUUUUCGUGGGGGAUAACGUAGGGAAACUUACGCUAAUACCGCAUACGACCUACGGGUGAAAGCAGGGGAUCUUCGGACCUUGCGCGAUUGAAUGAGCCGAUGUCGGAUUAGCUAGUUGGCGGGGUAAAGGCCCACCAAGGCGACGAUCCGUAGCUGGUCUGAGAGGAUGAUCAGCCACACUGGAACUGAGACACGGUCCAGACUGCUACGGGAGGCAGCAGUGGGGAAUAUUGGACAAUGGGCGCAAGCCUGAUCCAGACAUACCGCGUGGGUGAAGAAGGCCUUCGGGUUGUAAAGCCCUUUUGUUGGGAAAGAAAAGCAGCAGGUUAAUACCCCGCUGUUCUGACGGGACCCAAAGAAUAAGCACCGGCUAACUUCGUG